GAUUCAAGAAAUUGUCAAAGGAUACAAGUUAGUAAAUGGUUGGUUGGCCUAGUUUCCAAGUUUGGCCUACCAUUUGGUCCAAACCCCAUAACUUUCCCAUUUAUAAACCUUUUGGAGAUCCAUGUCGAGUCAAAUGUCAUAAAUGGAAUCCUAUACAACUUUGUUUCAAGACUCAAUCCCUAAUUCAACCCCUAAAGACCUCAAAUUUUGAAUUGGACAAAAAACGUCCAACUGCUAAGGCAGACCCAAAACCAUGUCAUGACCACUACUCUACACCU
Molecule: long non-coding RNA, 278 nt
Filed under: Lathyrus oleraceus (garden pea)
Lineage: Eukaryota; Viridiplantae; Streptophyta; Magnoliopsida; Fabales; Fabaceae
Description: Pisum sativum (pea) long non-coding RNA (PSAT_LNC023271)
Source: RNAcentral